Molecule: ribosomal RNA, 1540 nt
Filed under: Staphylococcus aureus
Lineage: Bacteria; Bacillati; Bacillota; Bacilli; Caryophanales; Staphylococcaceae
Description: 16S ribosomal RNA
Rfam family: Bacterial small subunit ribosomal RNA
Source: RNAcentral
AGAGUUUGAUCCUGGCUCAGGAUGAACGCUGGCGGCGUGCCUAAUACAUGCAAGUCGAGCGAACGGACGAGAAGCUUGCUUCUCUGAUGUUAGCGGCGGACGGGUGAGUAACACGUGGAUAACCUACCUAUAAGACUGGGAUAACUUCGGGAAACCGGAGCUAAUACCGGAUAAUAUUUUGAACCGCAUGGUUCAAAAGUGAAAGACGGUCUUGCUGUCACUUAUAGAUGGAUCCGCGCUGCAUUAGCUAGUUGGUAAGGUAACGGCUUACCAAGGCAACGAUGCAUAGCCGACCUGAGAGGGUGAUCGGCCACACUGGAACUGAGACACGGUCCAGACUCCUACGGGAGGCAGCAGUAGGGAAUCUUCCGCAAUGGGCGAAAGCCUGACGGAGCAACGCCGCGUGAGUGAUGAAGGUCUUCGGAUCGUAAAACUCUGUUAUUAGGGAAGAACAUAUGUGUAAGUAACUGUGCACAUCUUGACGGUACCUAAUCAGAAAGCCACGGCUAACUACGUGCCAGCAGCCGCGGUAAUACGUAGGUGGCAAGCGUUAUCCGGAAUUAUUGGGCGUAAAGCGCGCGUAGGCGGUUUUUUAAGUCUGAUGUGAAAGCCCACGGCUCAACCGUGGAGGGUCAUUGGAAACUGGAAAACUUGAGGGCAGAAGAGGAAAGUGGAAUUCCAUGUGUAGCGGUGAAAUGCGCAGAGAUAUGGAGGAACACCAGUGGCGAAGGCGACUUUCUGGUCUGUAACUGACGCUGAUGUGCGAAAGCGUGGGGAUCAAACAGGAUUAGAUACCCUGGUAGUCCACGCCGUAAACGAUGAGUGCUAAGUGUUAGGGGGUUUCCGCCCCUUAGUGCUGCAGCUAACGCAUUAAGCACUCCGCCUGGGGAGUACGACCGCAAGGUUGAAACUCAAAGGAAUUGACGGGGACCCGCACAAGCGGUGGAGCAUGUGGUUUAAUUCGAAGCAACGCGAAGAACCUUACCAAAUCUUGACAUCCUUUGACAACUCUAGAGAUAGAGCCUUCCCCUUCGGGGGACAAAGUGACAGGUGGUGCAUGGUUGUCGUCAGCUCGUGUCGUGAGAUGUUGGGUUAAGUCCCGCAACGAGCGCAACCCUUAAGCUUAGUUGCCAUCAUUAAGUUGGGCACUCUAAGUUGACUGCCGGUGACAAACCGGAGGAAGGUGGGGAUGACGUCAAAUCAUCAUGCCCCUUAUGAUUUGGGCUACACACGUGCUACAAUGGACAAUACAAAGGGCAGCGAAACCGCGAGGUCAAGCAAAUCCCAUAAAGUUGUUCUCAGUUCGGAUUGUAGUCUGCAACUCGACUACAUGAAGCUGGAAUCGCUAGUAAUCGUAGAUCAGCAUGCUACGGUGAAUACGUUCCCGGGUCUUGUACACACCGCCCGUCACACCACGAGAGUUUGUAACACCCGAAGCCGGUGGAGUAACCUUUUAGGAGCUAGCCGUCGAAGGUGGGACAAAUGAUUGGGGUGAAGUCGUAACAAGGUAGCCGUAUCGGAAGGUGCGGCUGGAUCACCU